GGGCCUGCACAAGCAGUGGAGUAUGUGGUUUAAUUCGAUGCAACGCGCAGAACCUUACCCGGCCUUGACAUCCUGUGAAUCCCUAGGAAACUAGGGCGUGCUGCCGCAAGGUAGAACGCAGUGACAGGUGCUGCAUGGCUGUCGUCAGCUCGUGUCGUGAGAUGUUGGUUAAGUCCCGCAACGAGCGCAACCCCUAUCGUUAGUUGCCAGCAUUUAGUUGGGCACUCUAGCGAGACUGCCGGUGAUAAGCCGGAGGAAGGCGGGAUGACGUCAAGUCCUCAUGGCCCUUAUGGGCUGGGCUACACACGUGCUACAAUGGCAGUGACAGAGGGCAGCCACACCGCAAGGUGGAGCGAA
RNAcentral lists this ribosomal RNA (357 nucleotides) under uncultured bacterium. RNAcentral describes it as "bacterial SSU rRNA". It matches the Rfam family "Bacterial small subunit ribosomal RNA", at positions 917 to 1271 of the family's 1533-position model. The record is from RNAcentral.